AUUGAACGCUGGCGGCAGGCCUAACACAUGCAAGUCGAGCGAGCGGCGGACGGGUGAGUAAUGUAUGGGGACUGCCCGAUAGAGGGGGAUAACUCCUGGAAACGGUGGCUAAUACCGCAUACUAUCGGAUAACCCAUAUGGGAGUGGCUAGUAGGUGGGGAAAAGGCUCACCUAGGCGACGAGCUCUAGCUGGUCUGAGAGGAUGAUCGGCCACACGGGGACUGAGACACGGCCCAGACUCCUACGGGGGCAGAAGUGGGAAACAUUGCACAUGGGGCGCAAGCCUGAGGCGGCAAGGCGGCGGGUAUGAAGAAGGCUUGAGGGUUGUAAAGUACGUUCAGCGGGGAGGCGUUACCCGCAGAAGAAGCACCGGCUAACUCCGUGCCAGCAGCCGCGGUAAUUC
Molecule: ribosomal RNA, 403 nt
Filed under: uncultured bacterium
Lineage: Bacteria
Description: partial 16S ribosomal RNA
Rfam family: Bacterial small subunit ribosomal RNA
Source: RNAcentral